GCUGUGGUGUAUCCAGUGCUAUGUCAUAUUCAUUCAGUGUCAAAAGCAAUUCAAUUUCCCUUCUCCACUUUCUGUAAUUACUUCCACCCGUGAGUAUUGGCACAGCAGCCAAAUUCAUUGUUUUUAGUGAAACUGCAGAAGAUAACAAUGAAAUCAACACUUUGAAUCUUUUAGGAUUCAUGAUUUCUAUCUAUUUCACCAUGUAAUCCUCAUCAUGAGUCAAUUUUGUCAUACAUGGUUUCAAACUUUGAUAAAGAUAACCAUAUAUAGAGUAAACAACUCACAGAAGAUUGCAUUCAAGAAUCAUGUUCAAAAGGGAUGAUGUUCAUAUAUCACACCACAUGAAUCGAAUAUCAAAAUUCAAUAAACCCAAUAUAAAACAGCAGCGGAAACUCAAAAAUAAUUGAUUCAGUUUAUCCAUUUAGAUGAUUUUGAUUCGAAUUGGCGAGAUGCUAGCAAAUUCUCUAAUUAUAAGCAUAUAUACGGUAUUCUUUAGUUCAAAUAAUUUCUUACACUAAUUUCAAGUUUUAAAAUUGUAGACAUACCUUUUGGAACAAUCAAUGAAUGCAAUUGGCAUGAGAAGGAUAAAAAGGACGAAAAUUCCUUAAAUCGCUAUAAACCCAGAAACUGGGAAAAGGAAAAGAGCUAAGGGAGAGGAAAAGUCGCAAAACCCAGCAAACAUAAGGGUAAGACCCCUUUUUUUUUUUUUUUUUUUUUUUUUUUUUUUUAAUAAAACGGUGUCGUUUGCUAUUGUUAUUUUCAAAACAGGUUAUGAUUCUGGGUUUGGUAAUUAUAGGUUCUUGUCCAGAUUGUUGUGCAAAAAAAAAAAAUAAUAAUUCGAACUUAAUGGCAAUUAUCUCUCCCAAGCUCUAAUACCACAUGUAAGAACUAUAUCACAGAUCAAAGAUAUGCCAGUAAGUUACCAAUACUCCAACAAUCGAACUAAGUGACAAAACUACAAACACGAAUAUGAAACCAGUGGAAAACAUACCUGCAGAACUUGAACUCGAAGAAGCCAUAGCAGGUUCACAACCAAGCAAUCUUCUCCUCUUUAGCAAAACUAGAAAACUCUCUGAAUAAUAGGUAUUCAAUACAAGAUGAGCCGUGUCUUUGCAAGAGCAGUGAUUGAGGUUAUAUACAACAUUAAUCCAACUCAUUCUCCUAUUAGAAUUAGUGUUGAACUCUAAAACAAAACCUUUUCACACAAUGAGUGUACAAGAUCAAUUAGUGUAGGAUCCGAAACCUUUUCCAGAGGAACACUAAAAGCACUCAUAAUCCUACAAGGACGAGGAUUCAACCAAACACCUUAUCAAGACUUUUCCAUUCAAGAAUUCAUCCAAUAUUAUAGCUAAUCCUCAAACAUGUUUCAUACUCAUAUUCCAACACUAGUUACCAGAGAAUGACUUUUAUCCUUCUAUAAACAGGCAGUUGAUAAAGGUGACUCUGGCCCAAUAUAACUUGACUCAUAAACUGGAAACUUUGAGGCUUCAAACUCUGAGCCAAAAGUUGAAGCUUCUCACUCAACAAACAAAAAUUACAAAUCCAAAACUAAAAAGAAUCAGAAACAAACUAAAACAUGGGAUUGGUGAAGGCCAUACCUUCGAAAGCAUAGACGCAGACAGCUCUUCGAGAGCGAUCCCAACUCCGGGGUCGGAGGCGGAAACAGAGGCCAAUAUCCUCAAGAUUUUGCGUUGACGAUUGUGAGAUCGGGAUAAAACGGUCGAAACCAAAUUUGCAAGUUUUGAAAAAACGUUAAGGAAUCUGGGUUUCAAUGAAUAAGGAGGUUGCAAAUAAAAUCCCCAAAGAAACAAAAAAAAGGUCUCCCAUGUCGGUAUUUUGUGAGAGAAAAAGCGCAAGAUUCGAGAGCGAGUUCAACAG
RNAcentral lists this long non-coding RNA (1878 nucleotides) under Malus domestica (apple). Its description in RNAcentral is "long non-coding RNA (MDOM_LNC007054)". The record is from RNAcentral. Lineage: Eukaryota; Viridiplantae; Streptophyta; Magnoliopsida; Rosales; Rosaceae.